This 614-nucleotide long non-coding RNA is filed under the name Mytilus galloprovincialis (Mediterranean mussel). The record is from RNAcentral. Lineage: Eukaryota; Metazoa; Mollusca; Bivalvia; Mytilida; Mytilidae.
CGUAACUAAAGUACUUUGCAUAUUCGUAUAUUUUCCAUGAUUAUUACCUGCCAAUUCUCAUCAACAGGAAUUGACAGGUGAAGCGAAAAUCUUUGUAUAAAGCAAUGUAGUGUUGAAUAAAAAUUGCACACCAACUUUCCUUUAAACCCUCAUAACUUUGUCAUUUCUUCAUCUUUUUUCACGGUAGACAGACGAUUGAUUUUGAAAUUGCGCGUCCAAUCUUUUUCCAUAUCAUAAACACCUAUAUACUGCAUUGUUACCAAAAAUACACCUGAACUUUAAUGACCCACUCACUGAUAACAACCACGUGACAUAUGCGAUUUAUCUAUUAGCCCGAACUGCUCGCGGUAACAGCCCGGUACAUCAGAGGGCCAUGUCAAGUGGGUGAUAAACAUGUCGGUUUCUUUAUAUUUUUAUCAUUUUUCUCUGAUCGAACUGCUAUCCUGGGGAUGUUAAUUUUGUAUCAAGCAGAGUGUUCACUCUCCUUCUAAUAUAACCUCCUUGGUAUAUCAUAACAAAUUGGCAAAUACAGCCUUAUUAUCACCUUAAAAACUACUGUGUACGGAGUUACAUGUGCGGUUUGGGAAGUUUUAUGUUUUUAGAUAUAUAAAAGU